RNAcentral lists this ribosomal RNA (248 nucleotides) under uncultured bacterium. Its description in RNAcentral is "partial small subunit ribosomal RNA". It matches the Rfam family "Bacterial small subunit ribosomal RNA", at positions 26 to 290 of the family's 1533-position model. The record is from RNAcentral.
AGAAUCAACGCUGGCGGCGUGCCUAACACAUGCAAGUCGAACGAGAAAGUGGAGCAAUCCAUGAGUAAAGUGGCGCACGGGUGAGUAACACGUGACUAACCUACCCUUGAGUGGGGAUAACCUAGGGAAACCUGGGCUAAUACCGCAUAAUACCUUCGGGUCAAAGGAGCAAUUCGCUUAAGGAGGGGUCGCGGCCGAUUAGUUAGUUGGCGGGGUAAUGGCCCACCAAGACUGUGAUCGGUAUCCGG